This 497-nucleotide ribosomal RNA is filed under the name uncultured bacterium. Its description in RNAcentral is "partial 16S ribosomal RNA". It matches the Rfam family "Bacterial small subunit ribosomal RNA", at positions 28 to 507 of the family's 1533-position model. The record is from RNAcentral.
GAUGAACGCUGGCGGCGUGCCUAAUACAUGCAAGUCGAGCGAACGGACGAGGCGCUUGCUUCUCUGAUGUUAGCGGCGGACGGGUGAAUAACACGUGGAUCACCUACCUAUAAGACUGGGAUAACUUCGGGAAACCGGAGCUAAUACCGGAUAAUAUUUUGAACCGCAUGGUGCGAAAGUGAGAGACGGUCUUGCUGUCACUUAUAGAUGGUUCCGCGCUGCAUUAGCUAGUUGGUAAGGUAACGGCUUACCACGGCAACGAUGCAUAGCCGACCUGACAGGGUGAUCGGCCACACUGGAACUGAGACACGGUCCAGACUCCUACGGGACGCAGCAGUAGGGAAUCUUCCGCAAUGGGCGAAAGCCUGACGGAGCAACGCCGCGUGAGUGAUGAAGGUCUUCGGAUCGUAAAACUCUGUUAUUAGGGAAGAACAUAUGUGUAAGUAACUGUGCACAUCUUGACGGUACCUAAUCAGAAAGCCACGGCUAACUACGUG